UGGAUUAUGGAAGACGACUACUGCGAAAGCAUUACCAAGGAUGUUUCAUUAAUUCAGAACGAAGUUUUAGGGUAUCGAAGAUGAUUAGAUACCAUCGUAGUCUUAACCAUAAACUAUGCCGACUAGAGAUCGGUGGCUGCAUUGUAAGUCCCCAUCGGCACAUUAUGAGAUAUCAAAGUCUGUGUGUUCCGGGGGGAGUAUGGUCGCAAGGCUGAAACAUAAAGAAAUUGACGGAAGGGCACCACCAGGAGUGGAGCCUGCGGCUUAAUUUGACUCAACACGGGGAAACUUACCACGUCCAGACAUAGUAAGGAUUCACAGAUAGAGAGCUUUUUCUUGAUUCUAUGGGUGGUGGUGCAUCGCCGUUCUUAGUUGGAGGAGUGAUUUGUCUGGUUAAUUCCGUUAACGAACGAGACCCCCGCCUGAUAAAUAGUUCUGAGAAUGAUUAGCAUUGCCAGAGUUUUCUGAGAGGGACUUUCGGCGAUAGGCCGAAGGAAGUGGGGGCAAUAACAGGUCUGUGAUCCCCUUAGAUGUCGUGGGCCGCACGCGCGCUACACUGAUGCGUUCAACGAGUUUAUAACCUAUCCGGAAGGACCGGGUAAAAUGAAAUGCGCAUCGUGAUAGGGAUAGAUUAUUGCAACUAUUAAUCUUGAACGAGGAAUUCAUAGUAAACGCGAGUCAUCAGCUCGCAUUGAUUACGUCCCUGCCCUUUGUACACACCGCCCGUCGCACCUACCGAUUGAAUGAUUCGGUGAAGCUUUCGGAUUGCGCCACUGGCCUCGGUCGGCAGCGUGAGAAGUUAUUUAAACCUCAUCAUUUAGAGGAAGGUGAAGUCGUAACAAGGUUUCCGUAGGUGA
RNAcentral lists this ribosomal RNA (857 nucleotides) under Nannochloropsis sp. RNAcentral's name for it is "SSU rRNA". It matches the Rfam family "Eukaryotic small subunit ribosomal RNA", at positions 921 to 1812 of the family's 1831-position model. The record is from RNAcentral. Lineage: Eukaryota; Eustigmatophyceae; Eustigmatales; Monodopsidaceae.